CUUGGUCAUUUAGAGGAAGUAAAAGUCGUAACAAGGUUUCCGUAGGUGAACCUGCGGAAGGAUCAUUACCGAGUGCGGGCCCUCUGGGUCCAACCUCCCAUCCGUGUCUAUCUGUACCCUGUUGCUUCGGCGUGGCCACGGCCCGCCGAAGACUAACAUUUGAACACUGUCUGAAGUUUGCAGUUUGAGUUUUUAGUUAAACAAUAAUUAAAACUUUCAACAACGGAUCUCUUGGUUCCGGCAUCGAUGAAGAACGCAGCGAAAUGCGAUAAUUAAUGUGAAUUGCGGAAUUCAGUGAAUCAUCGAGUCUUUGAACGCACAUUGCGCCCCCUGGUAUUCCGGGGGGCAUGCCUGUCCGAGCGUCAUUGCUGCCCUCAAGCACGGCUUGUGUGUUGGGCUUCCGUCCCUGGUAACGGGGACGGGCCCAAAAGGCAGUGGCGGCACCAUGUCUGGUCCUCGAGCGUAUGGGGCUUUGUCACCCGCUCCCGUAGGUCCAGCUGGCAGCUAGCCUCCCCUCCAAUCUUUUUAACCAGGUUGACCUCGGAUCAGGUAGGGUGCCUCUGAACUUAAGCAUAUCAAUAAGCGGAGGA
Molecule: ribosomal RNA, 590 nt
Filed under: uncultured fungus
Lineage: Eukaryota; Fungi
Description: eukaryotic LSU rRNA
Rfam family: 5.8S ribosomal RNA (bases 212-365)
Source: RNAcentral